RNAcentral lists this ribosomal RNA (506 nucleotides) under uncultured bacterium. Its description in RNAcentral is "partial 16S ribosomal RNA". It matches the Rfam family "Bacterial small subunit ribosomal RNA", at positions 29 to 523 of the family's 1533-position model. The record is from RNAcentral.
AGUGAACGCUGGCGGUAGGCCUAACACAUGCAAGUCGAACGGCAGCACAGGAGAGCUUGCUCUCUGGGUGGCGAGUGGCGGACGGGUGAGGAAUACAUCGGAAUCUACUCUGUCGUGGGGGAUAACCCGGGGAAACUCGGGCUAAUACCGCAUAAUCUUUACGAAGCAAAGUGGGGGACCGUAAGGCCUCACGUUAUAAGAUGAGCCUAUGUUGGAUUAGCUAGUUGGUGGGGUAAAGGCCUACCAAGGCGACGAUCCAUAGCUGGUCUGAGAGGAUGAUCAGCCACACUGGGACUGAGACACGGCCCAGACGCCUACGGGAGGCAGCAGUGGGGAAUAUUGGACAAUGGGGGAAACCCUGAUCCAGCAACGCCGUGUGUGUGAAGAAGGCCUUAGGGUUGUAAAGCACUUUCAGUAGGGAAGAAAAGCUUAAGGGUAAUAUCCUUGAGUAUUGACGUUACCUACAGAAGAAGCACUGGCUAACUCUGUGCCAGCCGCCGCCGUAA